Molecule: ribosomal RNA, 524 nt
Filed under: uncultured bacterium
Lineage: Bacteria
Description: bacterial SSU rRNA
Rfam family: Bacterial small subunit ribosomal RNA
Source: RNAcentral
GGGGGAUAUUGCACAAUGGAGGAAACUCUGAUGCAGCGACGCCGCGUGAGUGAAGAAGUAUUUCGGUAUGUAAAGCUCUAUCAGCAGGGAAGAUGAUGACGGUACCUGACUAAGAAGCCCCGGCUAACUACGUGCCAGCAGCCGCGGUAAUACGUAGGGGGCAAGCGUUAUCCGGAUUUACUGGGUGUAAAGGGAGCGCAGGCGGUUUGGCAAGUUGAGAGUGGAAGCAGGGGGCUCAACCCCCUGACUGCUCCCAAAACUGUUAAACUUGAGUAUGGGAGAGGCAGGCGGAAUUCCUAGUGUAGCGGUGAAAUGCUUAGAUAUUAGGAAGAACACCGGUGGCGAAGGCGGCCUGCUGGACCAAAACUGACGCUGAGGCUCGAAAGCGUGGGUAGCAAACAGGAUUAGAUACCCUGGUAGUCCACGCUGUAAACGAUGAAUACUAGGUGCUGGGAGGCAUAAGCCUUUCGGUGCCGUCGCAAACGCAUUAAGUAUUCCACCUGGGGAGUACGUUCGCAAGAAUG